Molecule: ribosomal RNA, 253 nt
Filed under: uncultured bacterium
Lineage: Bacteria
Description: partial 16S ribosomal RNA
Rfam family: Bacterial small subunit ribosomal RNA
Source: RNAcentral
UACGUAGGCAGCAAGCGUUGUUCGGAGUUACUGGGCGUAAAGGGUGCGUAGGCGGCUUUUUAAGUUUGGUGUGAAAUCUCCCGGCUCAACUGGGAGGGUGCGCCGAAUACUGAGAGGCUAGAGUGUGGGGAGAGGAAAGUGAAUUCCUGGUGUAGCGGUGAAAUGCGUAGAUAUCAGGAGGAACACCGGUGGCGAAGGCGGCUACCUGGACAGAAACUGACGCUGAGGCGCGAAAGCUAGGGGAGCAAACAGG